Long non-coding RNA from Daphnia pulicaria, 1660 nucleotides. RefSeq lists it as uncharacterized. The transcript is spliced from 3 exons. Lineage: Eukaryota; Metazoa; Arthropoda; Branchiopoda; Diplostraca; Daphniidae. The record is from RefSeq and is a predicted model, not a curated record.
AGGGUGGGUGGGGUUGUUGGGGUUGGUAGUGUUUAUUUUAGAAUUAUUUCGUAUACAUUGCGUUUUAGACGUAAUGAUUUCGUUAUUGUUUCUCUUCUUUGUCUUUGUGCGAAGAGACGCUUAGUUAAAGUUUUAGUUUAGUAUUAGUUGGUUGUUGUUAAAAUGAGUUCUUUAAGUGAAGUUGAUUCAGGUAAUUUGAAUAAGUGGAAUGUGAAUGCGAAGAAGUUUUCAAUUAGUGAAAUUGUUUGUCCAUGGUCGCAUGAUAAUUAUCCGUGAGUAUUUACCUUUUUUUUGUUUGUGAUAAAUGUUGAUUUUUUUUAAUUCUUUUUGUUUAAGAUGGGCUUUGGAGGUGAAGGUGGAUAGUGUUGAUCCUUUUAAAACUGGGAAAACUGGGAGUUGUAUAAAUUUUGCUGUGAAGUUGAGAGAUGCUACAGAAGUGGUUCAUUGUAUUGGUUUUCAUGAUGCGGAAGUGAUAUCUAGGAGGUUCAAGGUAAAUUUUUCUUUUGAAUUGUUUUAUACUAUGAUUUGUUAAUGAUUUCAUUUUAUUUGUUUAUUUGUUAUUUUUUCAUGCUGAUGUUUUAGGUUGGUGCUACUUACAGAAUUGAAAAUGCUAAUCCGAAGGAUGUGAAUCCUAAUUUUGUCCGUGAUGAUAGAUUUGAUCAUAAAUGUGAGAUCAUGUUGCCUGCUAAUAAUUUGGUAAUUUUUAGUCACAUUUUUUGUUAGUUUCUGAUUAUUUUCCUUUCGUUAGAUUUGGUGUGUUGUAGAAAGUGGAUUUCCUCCCCAAAAAGUUAGAAAAGUUGAGGAAAAGGUUGAUGUUUUGCCGUCAACGUCGUUGAUGAAGGAAUCAGUGGAAUCAGUGAAAAGUCCAAUCUCUUUGUCAUCUGAAAAAGAGAUAGUAUACAUCUUUGUUUUUCAAAUCUAUUGUGAGUGAUCAUUGGGGAUUUUCCGUGUGUCGUUACUCGGCUGAUUGUAUGCAAAAGUUGGAGCCUGUUGGGAAGAACUAUAAAUGUACAUCUUGUGAUAUUAUUUCUGAUGACUUUGAUUGACAUCUAUCGAUUUUGUUGAAUGUUUUCGAUGGACUGAAUGAUUUUGAAGUUGAAGCUACUUCUACCAAUACAGAAAAGAUUUUAGGUGUGACGUCAUUGUUUGUUGGAAAAUGUGUUCGUAAAAACGAGCUUGAAAAGUUGAAAGGUGUGGCCAUGGCGGCUUCGAAUAAGUUGUUUAAUCUUUCUUUUUUGGCGACCAAACCGUUAUAUUUAUUUAUUUUAUUUUACUUUGUUUUUGUUAUUUUUUUGUGUUUUUUAGGGUCAGACGGUCACACAUAAAAGAGUUGAUUCCGUGUCUGAAUGUUUCAUUUCUGGAGCUGAGGUGAUAAUUAAGAAGAUGCUUGAUAAUGAAUCUGCAGAGGCUAUGGACGAAACGAAAUGAAUUUUUUUGUUGCUGUGCCGAGGUCUUCUUUUCUGGAUAUGAAAAAAAAACAGAAUUUUUUUUUGUUUUGGUUGAGGUAUAAUGCUAAUUAGUAAUUUAGAAACUUAUUUUGAUAAUGUAUUUAAACUGAAACGAAGUUUGAAUGGAUGAAAUUAAAAUUGGUGGAAUGAAGUACGUGUUUUUUUUGUGUUUUUAUUGCGUGAAAACAUGUUUCGAUUUUUUUGACGAUAGA